Molecule: ribosomal RNA, 246 nt
Filed under: uncultured bacterium
Lineage: Bacteria
Description: partial 16S ribosomal RNA
Rfam family: Bacterial small subunit ribosomal RNA
Source: RNAcentral
UUGCUCGAGUGGCGGACGGGUGAGUAACACGUGAGUAACCUGCCCUUGACUUUGGGAUAACUUCAGGAAACUGGGGCUAAUACCGGAUAGGAGCUCCUGCUGCAUGGUGGGGGUUGGAAAGUUUCGGCGGUUGGGGAUGGACUCGCGGCUUAUCAGCUUGUUGGUGGGGUAGUGGCUUACCAAGGCUUUGACGGGUAGCCGGCCUGAGAGGGUGACCGGCCACAUUGGGACUGAGAUACGGCCCAG